This 457-nucleotide ribosomal RNA is filed under the name uncultured bacterium. Its description in RNAcentral is "partial 16S ribosomal RNA". It matches the Rfam family "Bacterial small subunit ribosomal RNA", at positions 28 to 523 of the family's 1533-position model. The record is from RNAcentral.
GAUGAAUGCUGGCGGCGUGCCUAAUACAUGCAAGUCGUACGGAAAGGCCCUUCGGGGUACUCGAGUGGCGGACGGCUGAGUAACGCGUGGGAACGUGCCCCAAAGUGAGGAAUAACUGCCCGAAAGGGUAGCUAAUGCCGCAUAUGGUCUUCGGAUUAAAGCUUCGGCGCUUUGGGAGCGGCCCGCGUACGAUUAGAUAGUUGGUGAGGUAAUGGCUCACCAAGUCGACGAUCGUUAGCUGGUCUGAGAGGAUGAUCAGCCAGACUGGAACUGAGACACGGCCCAGACUCCUACGGGAGGCAGCAGUGGGGAAUAUUGGACAAUGGGGGCAACCCUGAUCCAGCCAUGCCGCGUGAGUGAUGAAGGCCUUAGGGUUGUAAAGCUCUUUUACCCGGGACGAUAAUGACUGUACCGGGAGAAUAAGCCCCGGCUAACUUCGUGCCAGCCGCCGCGGUAA